RNAcentral lists this small RNA (273 nucleotides) under Pan troglodytes (chimpanzee). RNAcentral's name for it is "processed transcript". Lineage: Eukaryota; Metazoa; Chordata; Mammalia; Primates; Hominidae. The record is from RNAcentral.
CCGGGUUGGGGCGGCCCCGCGCUCGGCCCGGGAACCGAUCCGCUGUGAGGGCUCCUCCAUCUCCUCCCACCCCGUGACCUGCUCGACGCGCAACAGCCCGAGUUGUCUUUAACUUGCUGCGGCAGCCUCUUUGUCCCGACCCAGGGUCGGGGACACCUCUCGGCCUGGCCCGGCCCUGCCCGUAGCCAUGUGGGACAUGUGGAUUUGGGAUAUGAAUUCAUUUGAAAAACCACUUUGGGGGUAUGAACGUGAUUUCUGAUGAAACUGGAUUGG